GGAAGAAGGGGUGAGAGGGAGAAACCUGCCGCCGCUCGCCGCCUCUUUGUCUGCUCCGGGACUUGGAACAAAAGGGGGAACUCUGAUGAACUCUCUCUCCUCCCCUCUCCCCCGGACGCCCGCCCGGGUAUCUCCCUCUCCCAACUUUGCCGCCGCGACUUUCUCCGCUGUCAGGCCACACAAAAGUGUCCUAGCGCCUCGCAGACUGCAACGAGGGGCAUGUCUCUUAAAAGUGCGACGAAGUGGAGAAGAAGGUAUAAUUAUUAUUAUCAGCAUCUAGAAAGCGUCGUGCGGUGCGUUGACCUUCGCCAUACUGCAUUGUUCUUACUGGAUCUUUCUAUCAGUGAACAUUAUGGAAGUACCAGUGCAACAUCAAGUCAUUCCUGGAUGAAAAGUUAUCAGACUUGUUCUUUUGGAGUUACUUAAAAGUUAAAAUGUCAGGAUUUUUGAUGAUGCCUUCUCUAAAUGGAUUACUACAAUUUGAUCACUGGGAAUUCUCCGCCUUAAAGAAGGCCGGCUCCGCCCUUAUCCCCGGGUCGCGUCAGAAUUAUCGCUUUUUCUCUGCUUGGGAUUCAUAAAGGUAAGAAGGGCAAGCUUGGUCUGUUUUGCAUGCAGCUGUUUUUACAUUAUCUUUUACCUUCCAUGUGAAAUCACUUUUCCCCUCUUACUCCACCUGCCUUGAAGAGACAGGACAAGCAGAGGGAAUGUGAAGAUGAAUUCAAGGGCGGCAAUAAAAUCCUUAGCCACCAGAUUUUUUUUGCGUGAAGUUACAAGUUCAUAGUAACUGCUCAACAUUCAAACUUGAAUGGAGAAGCCAGUCUUGAUUCUUCAGUAGUGUGAUCAGUCAAUUAAGCUUGUAUUAGGCAUCUUGUCUUAAUAUUUCCCUUCUCUCAGCUUCUCCUCAACCCCAGAGAUCACGUCUCUGCAUGUGUCAAACUUCCUUUUCUCUCCUUGUAUUUCAUUCUUCCGGGAUCUGUAAAGUGUCCAAGUUCUCAGAGCUCACUUAAAAAUGGAUCGAGUCCAGAGGGACCAGUGCCGACUUCUCAUUCAUCUAUCAGAGUUCCAAAUUUACAGGCUUGUACCUACCAAGAGAGGUGAGAGAGGAGGAAAAAGAGAGUGAGGUCUCCAUCUCCAGGAAGGGAGGCGUUGCCUCUGUUUGUGGCAGGACUGUUCCCUUCAGGUUCGCUCUCUCCAAGGUGAAUCCUGAGCUGAGCUGUACAGGGCUGAAUCAGCUGGAAUCCAGAGGAGUGAGACAAGAGUUUGGCUAGGACCCUGUGACUUAGCUUUGUGGUCAAGGAAGAAUAUGUAAAUUCACUGAUUUCCCAGGCAUUUCAGCCCUAAAGGAAGAGGAUUAGGGCAAUCCAAGAGUCUUGACCUUACUGUGAGGCUGAAUUAUAACUAGAGCCUGUUUUAACGAGCACAGCUUGAGUUUCAUACUUGAAAUAAAGCUUGAAUCAAAAUACUCUCCACUCUUCCCAUAUUCUGAUGGGAAAUUUAUUAAAUGUUAAAGUCUAAUCUGAAAGCAAACAUAGCUUUAAAUAAAACCUUGCAAUGUCAUUUAACAGUGUUUAUAACUUGAAUGACGAGUGUCUGGGUCUAAUAACCCAGAUAGGAAAAGGAAUUCCACGGCCCUCCUUCCCAAUCGGGACCUGUCUGGGAGCGUUUAUUUGUACUGAGUUUUCCAGUCUGAAAGUCUGUGUCAUUGUUUAGAUUCUGCCUGAAUAAACAGGCAGAACGAUAAACUUCCUCUUCAGGUGAGGUUUGUAUCUUUGAACCAGACCAUAGCCUCUAAGCCAUGGCUUUCCUGUCCAGAGGCUGCAUCGUCAGGUCUGCAGAUGUUUUGGGGAGGUCCUACUGUGUGCCCAGACUUGUCCUGUGUACUCAUAGGCAUAAUGAUGAUGACAAUGAUACACAGCCCCUAACGAAGUUAUAGUCAUUUGGGGAAAGUGAAUCGGACACACGUGAAAUAAGAUGCUCAUUUAGGAAAAUCCUCAAGUAAAUAUAGUCAAAUGGCAUGAUGUCACAUGUCAAAUUCAGCUCAAGCAGAUAUUAUGCACUUAGUAAUCAGGAAGAGGAAAAAAGAGUGUUGGCUUAGUUAUUGGAGGAAGGUUUGAUGAAAUAAAUUGGAUUUGAUAGGGUCUGUGCAGAAUGUGUUCAAUUUGGGGUGCCAGAUUUUAAAAGAGUAACCAGUAAAAUUAGCCUAGAGCGUCCCAUUUGGGUACCAUGCAUGGCUUACGAGCGUGCUAGGCAUCCACCCCCACAGUCCUGGCUGGGACCUGAACCUAGGGUCUGAGUCGGCCCUGCCCCAAACCCUUAUUUAUUUUUCCGAUUUGCUGUGCAGAUAUUAUCAUUUCUCUGUGUGCAUGACAUGAAUAAUAUUAGGCAGCACUGAAUUAGAGGGUGUUUUGGAUGGAAAAACUUCUAGAAACCAGGUCCCAUGAGGAAUAGUUGAAGGGCCUUGGCAAAUGAGCUUGGAGCUAUGAAGAUUAUGGACAAACAUAACAGUGGUUUUCAAACAUUGCAAAGACCAUUUUGUUCCAGAACAAGGUGAUUUGUUAUAGAUCAAUCUAGGGUGCAGAAUUGGGCCUAUUGGGUGGAUGUACCAGUGAGCAUACAAGAGUUCAGCUCAAAUAAGAGUUUUCUCACAGUUAAAAUGUCUGACAGAGCCCUGUUUGUCAGAACGGUGAAUUCCUCAUCCGGAAGGUGUGAAGGAGAAGUUGGAUGUCUAUAUGGCUGGCUGUGUAGAUAGGUGGCAGGGUUGGACUAAGGGACUCCAAGAUUGCUUUUAACUCUAAUAUCUUGAUCCCUGGGUGUGUAUUUAGGAAACCCAGGCAAAUAGAAAGCAUGGCGGCUUUCUAGGCAGAGUUCACUAUAGCAUGGACAAACAUGUCAAGGGAACAAGGAGAACUGGAGAUGUCCCUGGUCAGCUGUGUGAUGACAAAUGACGAAAGCAUGAGAUCGAUGGUAGAGAACUUUAAAUAUUCUGAUAGUCAAUGGGGAACCAUCUUGCUUCCUGUCCUGUGGUAGGAUAUGAUAAAACCAUAUCCUUUGAGAAAGCUUUGCUUUCUAUCCUGUCCUAGAGGCAUGUAGGUCAGUAAGAGAGAGAGAAAGGGAGGGAGAGAGGGAGAGAGAGAGAGAGAUUGAUUGAUUUGAUUGAUUACACUUAGGGAGAACACCCGGGAACUUUCCCCAGUUCUCCAUCACCUUACGUAUGCUAUGGUGACGGUAAUGGAAACAGAGAAAAAGGGGCGAAAGCAGAAUUACUGGAAGGACGAAUAUGGGAUUCCUUGAAAAUGGCUCUGAAACAGGAUUCUCCAAAUUAUUAAUUGGAAGUUAUGUGGCUGAUUUUUUAGAUCAGCAGAGCACAAUCAAGUGUUUACAUUUUGGUCCGCCAUUCAAGCUGACCAGUGACCUGAGACAAGUCAUUAAAAUUCCUCGUGUUCUAAUUCCCUGGUCAGGUCAUCCUAGCAAGAGAGAAUAGUUACAAAACAUUCCGAUUCCUGGAUGAAAGGUUCCUUGUUAUAAUCAUAUCAUGCUACAAUUAUUCUUGUUAUUGGGGCUAUUAUUCUCAGUUGCAACAAUGAUGCAAAUUUAUAUUUCCUACCUUAGGGAUAUUUUUGUCUUGCAGCUGGAUUCUGAAAGUGGCUUUCCUGUGAGAUGUUCUUUGAAAGACUGGCACAUCUUUCAAAUAUUUGUUUUAAUAUUGGUUCAUCGAGGGAAUGUGAGUAUUAUGUAAUAUUGAAGAUUAUCACUCCUAUUUCCCCCCCUCAAUCUAGUAUCUAGAAUAUAUUGAAAAUCCUUCAGCCUC
Equus caballus (horse) is the source of this 3808-nucleotide long non-coding RNA. Lineage: Eukaryota; Metazoa; Chordata; Mammalia; Perissodactyla; Equidae. The record is from Ensembl.